AUUGAACGCUGGCGGCAUGCCUUACACAUGCAAGUCGAACGGUAACAGGUCUUCGGAUGCUGACGAGUGGCGAACGGGUGAGUAAUACAUCGGAACGUGCCUAGUAGUGGGGGAUAACUACUCGAAAGAGUGGCUAAUACCGCAUGAGAUCUACGGAUGAAAGCAGGGGAUCGCAAGACCUUGUGCUACUAGAGCGGCCGAUGGCAGAUUAGGUAGUUGGUGGGAUAAAAGCUUACCAAGCCGACGAUCUGUAGCUGGGCUGAGAGGACGAUCAGCCACACUGAGACUGGGACACGGCCCAGACUCCUACGGGAGGCAGCAGUGGGGAAUUUCGGACAAGGGGCGCAAGCCUGAUCCAGCAAUGCCGCGUGCAGGAUGAAGGCCUUCGGGUUGUAAACUGCUUUUGUACGGAACGAAAAGCCCCGGGUUAAUACCCUGGGGUCAUGACGGUACCGUAAGAAUAAGCACCGGCUAACUACGUGCCAGCCGCCGCCGUAA
This 498-nucleotide ribosomal RNA is filed under the name uncultured bacterium. RNAcentral's name for it is "partial 16S ribosomal RNA". It matches the Rfam family "Bacterial small subunit ribosomal RNA", at positions 30 to 523 of the family's 1533-position model. The record is from RNAcentral.